Molecule: transfer RNA, 74 nt
Filed under: Selenomonas sp. KH1T6
Lineage: Bacteria; Bacillati; Bacillota; Negativicutes; Selenomonadales; Selenomonadaceae
Description: tRNA_Pro_CGG
Rfam family: tRNA
About the family: Transfer RNA (tRNA) molecules are approximately 80 nucleotides in length. Their secondary structure includes four short double-helical elements and three loops (D, anti-codon, and T loops). Further hydrogen bonds mediate the characteristic L-shaped molecular structure. tRNAs have two regions of fundamental functional importance: the anti-codon, which is responsible for specific mRNA codon recognition, and the 3' end, to which the tRNAs corresponding amino acid is attached (by aminoacyl-tRNA synthetases). tRNAs cope with the degeneracy of the genetic code in two manners: having more than one tRNA (with a specific anti-codon) for a particular amino acid; and 'wobble' base-pairing, i.e. permitting non-standard base-pairing at the 3rd anti-codon position.
Source: RNAcentral
CGGGAUGUAGCGCAGUUUGGUAGCGCACUUCGUUCGGGACGAAGGGGCCGCAGGUUCAAAUCCUGUCAUCCCGA